This 253-nucleotide ribosomal RNA is filed under the name uncultured bacterium. RNAcentral's name for it is "partial 16S ribosomal RNA". It matches the Rfam family "Bacterial small subunit ribosomal RNA", at positions 524 to 776 of the family's 1533-position model. The record is from RNAcentral.
UACGUAGGGCGCGAGCGUUGUCCGGAAUUAUUGGGCGUAAAGAGCUCGUAGGCGGCCUGUUGCGUCCGCUGUGAAAUCCCGGGGCUCAACCCCGGGCGUGCAGUGGAUACGGGCUGGCUAGAGGCAGGCAGGGGAGAACGGAAUUCCCGGUGUAGCGGUGAAAUGCGCAGAUAUCGGGAGGAACACCGGUGGCGAAGGCGGUUCUCUGGGCCUGUACUGACGCUGAGGAGCGAAAGCGUGGGGAGCGAACAGG